GGCACAGAAGGGACCGCAGGGGUCUUACGUGGGGCUCCCCAAAAGCAGGUCCUGGGACAAGGGCCCCUGAGCGGGAGAUUUAUUGAGGACCUGCUCCCAUUAGAAGCCAGUGGGAAAACUGAACAAGGAAGAAAGAAAGGGGAGGGGCCGAGACAGGGUGGAGCUUCAGCUUGACCUCAAGAGGGGCCCCACCUGAGGCCAAAGAGCUGAGCUUUCACUCCAGGCACCGGCUAAGGGUGGGAGGGCAGGGGAGGGCGGCACCUCCCAGGUGCUUGGAUUCUCUGGGCUGGGGCCGUGGACUCCACGGAGGCGAGGUCAGUCACUCCUCCCAGGAAGAGCUGCGGGAGCUGUGUGUAAAUGCAAAAGUAUGAGGGGGGGCAGAGGAGGGCACGCAGAUGGUGGAAGGACCCAGAGGGGGUUGGGAGAGCCCCAGCUACGCAUCACACUCCACAAAGCUUCCUCCCGCUUCCCCGAAGGAUCGCCCUGACGUGAGAAGGAGUUUCUUGAAGACUGCAGAGGGACAGCUCUCUGGCGUUUCAGUCAGGAUGGCCAGCCUGGAGAAAAGCGAGCUAUAAUUGCUUGGACAGUGGGUCAGCCUCCAGCCUUGCAAACUCCACUUGCCUCUGUGGUCCAACCUGGCCCCUGGUGGCUCUGGGGCCCCGGGCUGGUGGGUAGGAGAAGGACCAGGAAGCCUGGCAUCCCGCUGCAGCCUGAGAAGUGACCACUGCUGCUCAGGUCCAUGGGAAGGCAGAAAAAAAUGGAUCCCACGUGAAGGAAAAUUGAAGUGUGCCCAAAAGUUCAUCAGGACUUUCCUGUCUUCCCUCUCUGGGUUCCCGGCCGGCAAAAGUUGCAAGAACAUGUCUCCUUGUUUAAGCAAGGUCAUUGGCCCCAUGCCGGGAGCACCCAAACACAGUGAGGAGAAGACCAGCUGACAGUUGUGAAACAGACUGGGCCCUCCCAGGAGAAAUGUUGAUAGUUUAUAAUUUCACUCUCACUAGUCAUAAUUAUUUUAUUUUACGGAAGUUUAGUUGAUUUACAAUGUUGUGUUAAUUUCUGCUGUACAUCACAGUGAUUCAGUUAUACACAUAUAUACAUUCUUUUUCACAUUCUUUUCCAUUAUGGUUUAUCACAGGAUAUUGAGUAUAGUUCCCUGUGCUCUACAGUCAGAUUUUGUUGUUUAUCCAUUCUGUAUAUAAUAGUUUGCAUCCGCUAAUCCCAAACUCCCAGUCCAAGCUUCCCCCACCCCUUCCCCCUUGGCAACCACAAGUCUGUUCUGUAUGUCUGUGUGUCUGUUUCUGUUUUGUAGAUAAGUUCAUUUGCGCUAUAUUUUAGAUU
Orcinus orca (killer whale) is the source of this 1335-nucleotide long non-coding RNA. RefSeq lists it as uncharacterized. The record is from RefSeq and is a predicted model, not a curated record. The transcript is spliced from 3 exons. NCBI's taxonomy places the organism in Eukaryota, Metazoa, Chordata, Mammalia, Artiodactyla, Delphinidae.